This 500-nucleotide ribosomal RNA is filed under the name uncultured bacterium. RNAcentral describes it as "partial 16S ribosomal RNA". It matches the Rfam family "Bacterial small subunit ribosomal RNA", at positions 30 to 523 of the family's 1533-position model. The record is from RNAcentral.
AUUGAACGCUGGCGGCAGGCCUAACACAUGCAAGUCGAGCGGAUGACGGGAGCUUGCUCCUUGAUUCAGCGGCGGACGGGUGAGUAAUGCCUAGGAAUCUGCCUGGUAGUGGGGGACAACGUUUCGAAAGGAACGCUAAUACCGCAUACGUCCUACGGGAGAACGCAGGGGACCUUCGGGCCUUGCGCUCUCAGAUGAGCCUAGGUCGGAUUAGCUAGUUGGUGGGGUAAUGGCUCACCAAGGCGACGAUCCGUAACUGGUCUGAGAGGAUGAUCAGUCACACUGGAACUGAGACACGGUCCAGACUCCUACGGGAGGCAGCAGUGGGGAAUAUUGGACAAUGGGCGAAAGCCUGAUCCAGCCAUGCCGCGUGUGUGAAGAAGGUCUUCGGAUUGUAAAGCACUUUAAGUUGGGAGGAAGGGCAGUAAGCUAAUACCUUGCUGUUUUGACGUUACCGACAGAAUAAGCACCGGCUAACUCUGUGCCAGCAGCCGCCGUAA